RNAcentral lists this ribosomal RNA (1354 nucleotides) under Vibrio vulnificus. RNAcentral's name for it is "partial 23S ribosomal RNA". It matches the Rfam family "Bacterial large subunit ribosomal RNA", at positions 1478 to 2812 of the family's 2925-position model. The record is from RNAcentral. Lineage: Bacteria; Pseudomonadati; Pseudomonadota; Gammaproteobacteria; Vibrionales; Vibrionaceae.
AAGGCUAGGUGGGCCUGGCGACGGUUGUCCAGGUUCAAGUGCGUAGGCUGAGUGUUUAGGUAAAUCCGGACACUCUUAAGGCUGAGACACGACGUCGAGCUACUACGGUAGUGAAGUCAUUGAUGCCAUGCUUCCAGGAAAAGCCUCUAAGCUUCAGAUUGUAAGGAAUCGUACCCCAAACCGACACAGGUGGUCGGGUAGAGAAUACCAAGGCGCUUGAGAGAACUCGGGUGAAGGAACUAGGCAAAAUGGUACCGUAACUUCGGGAGAAGGUACGCUCUUGAUGGUGAAGUCCCUUGCGGAUGGAGCUGACGAGAGUCGCAGAUACCAGGUGGCUGCAACUGUUUAUUAAAAACACAGCACUGUGCAAAAUCGUAAGAUGACGUAUACGGUGUGACGCCUGCCCGGUGCCGGAAGGUUAAUUGAUGGGGUUAGCGUAAGCGAAGCUCUUGAUCGAAGCCCCGGUAAACGGCGGCCGUAACUAUAACGGUCCUAAGGUAGCGAAAUUCCUUGUCGGGUAAGUUCCGACCUGCACGAAUGGCGUAAUGAUGGCCACGCUGUCUCCACCCGAGACUCAGUGAAAUUGAAAUCGCUGUGAAGAUGCAGUGUACCCGCGGCUAGACGGAAAGACCCCGUGAACCUUUACUACAGCUUGGCACUGAACAUUGAACCUACAUGUGUAGGAUAGGUGGGAGGCUUUGAAGACGUGACGCCAGUUGCGUUGGAGCCGUCCUUGAAAUACCACCCUUGUAUGUUUGAUGUUCUAACGUUGGCCCCUAAUCGGGGUUGCGGACAGUGCCUGGUGGGUAGUUUGACUGGGGCGGUCUCCUCCCAAAGAGUAACGGAGGAGCACGAAGGUGGGCUAAUCACGGUUGGACAUCGUGAGGUUAGUGCAAUGGCAUAAGCCCGCUUAACUGCGAGAAUGACGGUUCGAGCAGGUGCGAAAGCAGGUCAUAGUGAUCCGGUGGUUCUGAAUGGAAGGGCCAUCGCUCAACGGAUAAAAGGUACUCCGGGGAUAACAGGCUGAUACCGCCCAAGAGUUCAUAUCGACGGCGGUGUUUGGCACCUCGAUGUCGGCUCAUCACAUCCUGGGGCUGAAGUCGGUCCCAAGGGUAUGGCUGUUCGCCAUUUAAAGUGGUACGCGAGCUGGGUUUAGAACGUCGUGAGACAGUUCGGUCCCUAUCUGCCGUGGGCGUUGGAAGAUUGAAGGGGGCUGCUCCUAGUACGAGAGGACCGGAGUGGACGAACCUCUGGUGUUCGGGUUGUGUCGCCAGACGCAUUGCCCGGUAGCUAAGUUCGGAAUCGAUAACCGCUGAAAGCAUCUAAGCGGGAAGCGAGCCCUGAGAUGAGUCUU